AUACGGAGGAUGCAAGCGUUAUCCGGAUUUAUUGGGUUUAAAGGGUGCGUAGGCGGUUUGCUAAGCGGGAGGUGAAAUGCCGGCGCUCAACGUCGGAAGUGCCUCCCGAACUGGUGGACUGGAAUGACUCUGCCGUGGGAGGAAUGUGUAGUGUAGCGGUGAAAUGCUUAGAGAUUACACAGAACACCGAUUGCGAAGGCAUCUCACGAAGGGUUGAUUGACGCUGAGGCACGAAAGCGUGGGGAUCAAACAGGAUUAGAUACCCUGGUAGUCCACGCAGUAAACGAUGAUGGCUAACCGCUGGUUUAUUCGGAUCAGUGGCCAAGCGAAAGCGAUAAGCCAUCCACCUGGGGAGUACGCACGCAAGUGUGAAACUCAAAUGAAUUGACGGGG
Molecule: ribosomal RNA, 393 nt
Filed under: uncultured bacterium
Lineage: Bacteria
Description: partial 16S ribosomal RNA
Rfam family: Bacterial small subunit ribosomal RNA
Source: RNAcentral